AUACGGAGGAUCCGAGCGUUAUCCGGAUUUAUUGGGUUUAAAGGGUGCGCAGGCGGCCAUUUAAGUCAGCGGUUAAAUCGUGGGGCUCAACCCCAUUCUGCCGUUGAUACUGGGUGGCUUGAUUGCGGUCGAGGUUGGCGGAAUUCGUUGUGUAGCGGUGAAAUGCAUAGAUAUGACGAAGAACACCGAUUGCGUAGGCAGCUGACCAGAUCGCAAAUGACGCUCAUGCACGAAAGUGCGGGGAUCGAACAGGAUUAGAUACCCUGGUAGUCCGCACAGUAAACGAUGAAUACUUGUUUUCGGCGAUAUAAUGUCGGAGGCAAAGCGAAAGCGAUAAGUAUUCCACCUGGGGAGUACGCCGGCAACGGUGAAACUCAAAGGAAUUGGCGGGG
This 392-nucleotide ribosomal RNA is filed under the name uncultured bacterium. RNAcentral describes it as "partial 16S ribosomal RNA". It matches the Rfam family "Bacterial small subunit ribosomal RNA", at positions 523 to 918 of the family's 1533-position model. The record is from RNAcentral.